Molecule: ribosomal RNA, 1027 nt
Filed under: Limosilactobacillus fermentum
Lineage: Bacteria; Bacillati; Bacillota; Bacilli; Lactobacillales; Lactobacillaceae
Description: bacterial SSU rRNA
Rfam family: Bacterial small subunit ribosomal RNA
Source: RNAcentral
UACAUGCAGUCGAACGCGUUGGCCCAAUUGAUUGAUGGUGCUUGCACCUGAUUGAUUUUAGGUCGCCAACGAGUGGCGGACGGGUGAGUAACACGUGGGUAACCUGCCCAUAAGCGGGGGACAACAUUUGGAAACCGAUGCUAAUACCGCAAAACAACCUUGUUCGCAUGGGCUACGCUUAAAAAAAGGGUUCCCGCUGUCACUUCUGGAUGGACCUGCGGUGCAUUAGCUUGUUGGUGGGGUAACGGCCUACCAAGGCGAUGAUGCAUAGCCGAGUUGAGAGACUGAUCGGCCACAUUGGGACUGAGACACGGCCCAUACUCCUACGGGAGGCAGCAGUAGGGAAUCUUCCACAAUGGGCGCAAGCCUGAUGGAGCAACACCGCGUGAGUGAAGAAGGGUUUCGGCUCGUAAAGCUCUGUUGUUAAAGAAGAACACGUAUGAGAGUAACUGUUCAUAUCUUGACGGUAUUUAACCAGAAAGUCACGGCUAACUACGUGCCAGCAGCCGCGGUAAUACGUAGGUGGCAAGCGUUAUCCGGAUUUAUUGGGCGUAAAGAGAGUGCAGGCGGUUUUUUAAGUCUGAUGUGAAAGCCUUCGGCUUAACCGGAGAAGUGCAUCGGAAACUGGAUAGACUUGAGUGCAGAAGAGGGUAGUGGAACUCCAUGUGUAGCGGUGGAAUGCGUAGAUAUAUGGAAGAACACCAGUGGCGAAGGCGGCUAUCUGGUCUGCAACUGACGCUGAGACUCGAAAGCAUGGGUAGCGAACAGGAUUAGAUACCCUGGUAGUCCAUGCCGUAACGAUGAGUGCUAGUGUUGGAGGGUUUCCGCCCUUCAGUGCUGGCAGCUAACGCAUUAAGCACUCCGCCUGGGGAGUACGACCGCAAGGUUGAAACUCAAAGGAAUUGACGGGGCCCGCACAAGCGGUGGAGCAUGUGGUUUAAUUCGAUGCUACGCGAAGAAUCUUACCAGGUCUUGACAUCUUGCUGCCAACUCUUAGAGAUAGGGCGUUUCCUUCGGGGACGCAAUG